This 253-nucleotide ribosomal RNA is filed under the name uncultured bacterium. RNAcentral's name for it is "partial 16S ribosomal RNA". It matches the Rfam family "Bacterial small subunit ribosomal RNA", at positions 524 to 776 of the family's 1533-position model. The record is from RNAcentral.
UACGGAGGAUGCGAGCGUUAUCCGGAUUUAUUGGGUUUAAAGGGUGCGUAGGCGGACCGAUAAGUCAGUGGUGAAAACCUGCAGCUUAACUGUAGAACUGCCAUUGAUACUGUCGGACUUGAGUAUGGUCAAGGUAGGCGGAAUGUGUAAUGUAGCGGUGAAAUGCUUAGAUAUUACACAGAACACCGAUUGCGAAGGCAGCUUGCUGGACCAUUACUGACGCUGAUGCACGAAAGCGUGGGGAGCAAACAGG